This 115-nucleotide transfer RNA is filed under the name Candidatus Woesearchaeota archaeon. Its description in RNAcentral is "tRNA-Ile". Lineage: Archaea; Nanobdellati; Candidatus Woesearchaeota. The record is from RNAcentral.
GCCAGCGUAAAGCUAAUCCGGUAAGCUGCUAGGCUGAUCCCCUAGUGCCCUCACGGGUUUCCGGGUUCAAAAGCUUUUCGGUUGGCCACCGAGAAGAUUGAUCCCGGCCUUGGCA